RNAcentral lists this long non-coding RNA (473 nucleotides) under Homo sapiens (human). RNAcentral's name for it is "HSALNT0384680". Lineage: Eukaryota; Metazoa; Chordata; Mammalia; Primates; Hominidae. The record is from RNAcentral.
CCUACACGCACCUUCCUACGCUGGCCUGUGCGUGCAGCCUGCCCUGGCCUCUACUGUGACGCCUACCACGUUAUAUUUGUAAUGAUUUGUUUAUGACUGUCCCCAUACUAGGGAAGGCAUCGAGCUUGAGGAAGAGGCCCCAUUCAUCUCCGUACCCCAGGCCCUGGUACACAGCAGGCAGCAAGAAUGCGGUGUGUCAGGAGAAGCAAAUCCCAAAUGAGAUAAACCUGCCAGUAAUUUCAGCAAAUGAAACGUGGAACACGUCAAGGCCAGAGGAUGGAAAAGGCUCCAGUUUUGAUAAAAGGAGGCCUGCUUGGCUUGGAAUCCUCUCUCCUGCUGGUUGGGAGAUGCAAAGAUGUUUCCAGAGAGGGGCUGAUGAAUUGAGGGGAAAGAAAUGAGCCCAGUAUGAGUCCCCUUUCAGGGCUGAGCGUGUAUAAAACCAAACAACUUGGAACCGCUCCAAGAGAGGGGAU